This 253-nucleotide ribosomal RNA is filed under the name uncultured bacterium. Its description in RNAcentral is "partial 16S ribosomal RNA". It matches the Rfam family "Bacterial small subunit ribosomal RNA", at positions 524 to 776 of the family's 1533-position model. The record is from RNAcentral.
GACAUAGGGUGCAAGCGUUGUCCGGAAUCAUUGGGCGUAAAGCGCGUGUAGGCGGCCUUGUAAGUCUGUUCUGAAAGCCCGGGGCUCAACCCCGGGAGGCGGAUGGAUACUGCAAGGCUCGAGUACGGAAGAGGCGAGUGGAAUUCCCGGUGUAGCGGUGAAAUGCGCAGAUAUCGGGAGGAACACCAAUGGCGAAGGCAGCUCGCUGGGACGUUACUGACGCUGAGACGCGAAAGCGUGGGGAGCGAACAGG